GCAGCGAAAUCAUGAAGAAAAUGAAGUUUGAAAUGCACGGUAGGUGUUUGUGAAAAUGUGUGAAGGUGUUUGGAUGGAUGUUUGGUAGAAUUCUAACUCAGUAGGCUUUCCAAAGGGGAAAGGAGCUAGAGGAGGUGCAAGAUAACAAGGCACAAGUUUGAACUUGAGAGGACAACUGAGAAUUCAACAGCAUUUCAUUACUCCAAAUCAAGUUACAUUUACAAUGAGAUGAAGCUCUCUUUUAUAGGAGAAGGAGAGCUAUCAAUCUUGCAGUAGAAGCUAUCCUAAUUGCACGUGAUGGAAAACCAAGGUAGCUUGUGGAGGAAGCUUGUCCAGCUGGCUAGGU
Molecule: long non-coding RNA, 346 nt
Filed under: Vigna radiata
Lineage: Eukaryota; Viridiplantae; Streptophyta; Magnoliopsida; Fabales; Fabaceae
Description: long non-coding RNA (VRAD_LNC016015)
Source: RNAcentral